AUACGGAGGAUGCGAGCGUUAUCCGGAUUUAUUGGGUUUAAAGGGUGCGCAGGCGGCGCGUUAAGUCAGCGGUGAAAUGUCCCGGCUCAACCGGGGCACUGCCGUUGAUACUGGCGUGCUGGAGUACGGACGGCGCCGGCGGAAUGUGUCAUGUAGCGGUGAAAUGCUUAGAUAUGCCACAGAACACCGAUCGCGAAGGCAGCUGGCGAGGCCGGGACUGACGCUGAGGCACGAAAGCGUGGGGAUCAAACAGGAUUAGAUACCCUGGUAGUCCACGCAGUAAACGAUGAGGACUUGUUGUCGGCGAUAGAAUGUCGGUGACAAAGCGAAAGCGAUAAGUCCUCCACCUGGGGAGUACGAUCGCAAGGUUGAAACUCAAAUGAAUUGACGGGG
Molecule: ribosomal RNA, 393 nt
Filed under: uncultured bacterium
Lineage: Bacteria
Description: partial 16S ribosomal RNA
Rfam family: Bacterial small subunit ribosomal RNA
Source: RNAcentral